Molecule: ribosomal RNA, 230 nt
Filed under: uncultured bacterium
Lineage: Bacteria
Description: partial 16S ribosomal RNA
Rfam family: Bacterial small subunit ribosomal RNA
Source: RNAcentral
GAUCCUGGCUCAGGAUGAACGCUAGCUACAGGCUUAACACAUGCAAGUCGAGGGGCAGCGGGAUUGAAGCUUGCUUCAAUUGCCGGCGACCGGCGCACGGGUGAGUAACGCGUAUCCAACCUUCCGUACACUCAGGGGUAGCCUUUCGAAAGAAAGAUUAAUACCUGAGUGGUAUGAUGAGAUUGCAUGAUAUCAUCAUUAAAGAUUUAUCGGUGUACGAUGGGGAUGCG